RNAcentral lists this ribosomal RNA (422 nucleotides) under uncultured bacterium. RNAcentral describes it as "bacterial SSU rRNA". It matches the Rfam family "Bacterial small subunit ribosomal RNA", at positions 362 to 776 of the family's 1533-position model. The record is from RNAcentral.
UUUUCGUCAAUGGGCGCAAGCCUGAACGAGCAAUGCCGCGUGAACGAGGAAGGUCUUCGGAUCGUAAAGUUCUGUUGAAGGGGAAAAAGAGCGGAGAGAGGAAAUGCUUUCUGAUUGAUAUUACCCUUCGAGGAAGUCACGGCUAACUACGUGUCAGCAUCCGCGGUAAUACGUAGGUGGCGAGCGUUAUCCGGAAUGAUUGGGCGUAAAGGGUGCGUAGGCGGCCUGCUAAGUCUGGAGUGAAAGGUACCGGCUCAACCGGUACAGGCUCUGGAAACUGGCGGGCUAGGGGGCAGGAGAGGGCGGUGGAACUCCAUGUGUAGCGGUAAAAUGCGUAGAUAUAUGGAAGAACACCAGUGGCGAAGGCGGCCGCCUGGCCUGUUGACUGACGCUGAGGCACGAAAGCGUGGGGAGCAAAUAGG